Molecule: regulatory RNA element, 94 nt
Rfam family: pan motif
Source: Rfam
GUGAUGGUAUCGAAAGAGCUAUACACAUUCUAGAAUAAAUGCCUAAAAUUUAAUAUGUUCUCUGCUUUGAGCCUUAGUUGACAAAGACGGAUAU